AUGAACGCUGGCGGCGUGCCUAAUCCCUGCAAGUCGAGCGAACGGACGAGAAGCUUGCUUCUCUGAUGUUAGCGGCGGACGGGUGAGUAACACGUGGAUAACCUACCUAUAAGACUGGGAUAACUUCGGGAAACCGUAGCUAAUACCGGAUAAUAUUUUGAACCGCAUGGUUCAAAAGUGAAAGACGGUCUUGCUGUCACUUAUAGAUGGAUCCGCGCUGCAUUAGCUAGUUGGUAAGGUAACGGCUUACCAAGGCAACGAUGCAUAGCCGACCUGAGAGGGUGAUCGGCCACACUGGAACUGAGACACGGUCCAGACUCCUACGGGAGGCAGCAGUAGGGAAUCUUCCGCAAUGGGCGAAAGCCUGACGGAGCACCGCCGCGUGAGUGAUGAAGGUCUUCGGAUCGUAAAACUCUGUUAUUAGGGAAGAACAUAUGUGUAAGUAACUGUGCACAUCUUGACGGUACCUAAUCAGAAAGCCACGGCUAACUACGUG
RNAcentral lists this ribosomal RNA (496 nucleotides) under uncultured bacterium. Its description in RNAcentral is "partial 16S ribosomal RNA". It matches the Rfam family "Bacterial small subunit ribosomal RNA", at positions 29 to 507 of the family's 1533-position model. The record is from RNAcentral.